GAUGAAGAACGUAGCGAAAUGCGAUAAGUAAUGUGAAUUGCAGAAUUCAGUGAAUCAUCGAAUCUUUGAACGCACAUUGCGCCCGCCAGUAUUCUGGCGGGCAUGCCUGUUCGAGCGUCAUUUCAACCAUCAAGCCCCCGGCUUGUGUUGGGGACCUGCGGCUGCCGCAGGCCCUGAAAACUAGUGGCGGGCUCGCUAGUCACUCCGAGCGUAGUAAUACAUCUCGCUCAGGGCGUGCUGCGGGUUCCGGCCGUUAAAAAGCCUUAUUUACCCAAGGUUGACCUCGGAUCAGGUAGGAAGACCCGCUGAACUUAAGCAUAUCAAUAAGCGGAGGA
RNAcentral lists this unclassified non-coding RNA (335 nucleotides) under soil metagenome. RNAcentral's name for it is "partial contains 5.8S ribosomal RNA, internal transcribed spacer 2, and large subunit ribosomal RNA". The stretch from base 1 to 120 matches the Rfam family "5.8S ribosomal RNA", at positions 35 to 154 of the family's 154-position model. The record is from RNAcentral.